This 2932-nucleotide ribosomal RNA is filed under the name Klebsiella aerogenes. RNAcentral describes it as "23S ribosomal RNA". It matches the Rfam family "Bacterial large subunit ribosomal RNA". The record is from RNAcentral. Lineage: Bacteria; Pseudomonadati; Pseudomonadota; Gammaproteobacteria; Enterobacterales; Enterobacteriaceae.
GGGUUGUGAGGUUAAGCGACUAAGCGUACACGGUGGAUGCCCUGGCAGUCAGAGGCGAUGAAGGACGUGCUAAUCUGCGAAAAGCGUCGGUAAGGUGAUAUGAACCGUUACAGCCGGCGAUGUCCGAAUGGGGAAACCCAGUGCAAUUCGUUGCACUAUCGUUAACUGAAUACAUAGGUUAACGAGGCGAACCGGGGGAACUGAAACAUCUAAGUACCCCGAGGAAAAGAAAUCAACCGAGAUUCCCCCAGUAGCGGCGAGCGAACGGGGAGCAGCCCAGAGUCUGAAUCAGCUUGUGUGUUAGUGGAACGGUCUGGAAAGUCCGACGGUACAGGGUGAUAGUCCCGUACACCAAAAUGCACAGGCUGUGAACUCGAAGAGUAGGGCGGGACACGUGGUAUCCUGUCUGAAUAUGGGGGGACCAUCCUCCAAGGCUAAAUACUCCUGACUGACCGAUAGUGAACCAGUACCGUGAGGGAAAGGCGAAAAGAACCCCGGCGAGGGGAGUGAAAAAGAACCUGAAACCGUGUACGUACAAGCAGUGGGAGCACCUUCGGGUGUGACUGCGUACCUUUUGUAUAAUGGGUCAGCGACUUAUAUUCUGUAGCAAGGUUAACCGUAUAGGGGAGCCGCAGGGAAACCGAGUCUUAACUGGGCGUUAAGUUGCAGGGUAUAGACCCGAAACCCGGUGAUCUAGCCAUGGGCAGGUUGAAGGUUGGGUAACACUAACUGGAGGACCGAACCGACUAAUGUUGAAAAAUUAGCGGAUGACUUGUGGCUGGGGGUGAAAGGCCAAUCAAACCGGGAGAUAGCUGGUUCUCCCCGAAAGCUAUUUAGGUAGCGCCUCGUGAACUCAUCUUCGGGGGUAGAGCACUGUUUCGGCUAGGGGGUCAUCCCGACUUACCAACCCGAUGCAAACUACGAAUACCGAAGAAUGUUAUCACGGGAGACACACGGCGGGUGCUAACGUCCGUCGUGAAGAGGGAAACAACCCAGACCGCCAGCUAAGGUCCCAAAGUCACAGUUAAGUGGGAAACGAUGUGGGAAGGCACAGACAGCCAGGAUGUUGGCUUAGAAGCAGCCAUCAUUUAAAGAAAGCGUAAUAGCUCACUGGUCGAGUCGGCCUGCGCGGAAGAUGUAACGGGGCUAAACUGUGCACCGAAGCUGCGGCAGCGACACUUAGGUGUUGUUGGGUAGGGGAGCGUUCUGUAAGCCUGCGAAGGUGGCCUGUGAGGGUUGCUGGAGGUAUCAGAAGUGCGAAUGCUGACAUAAGUAACGAUAAUGCGGGUGAAAAGCCCGCACGCCGGAAGACCAAGGGUUCCUGUCCAACGUUAAUCGGGGCAGGGUGAGUCGACCCCUAAGGCGAGGCCGAAAGGCGUAGUCGAUGGGAAACAGGUUAAUAUUCCUGUACUUGGUGUUACUGCGAAGGGGGGACGGAGAAGGCUAUGUUAGCCGGGCGACGGUUGUCCCGGUUUAAGCAUGUAGGCGGAGGUUCCAGGUAAAUCCGGUACCUUUUAACGCUGAGGUGUGAUGACGAGGCACUACGGUGCUGAAGUAACAAAUGCCCUGCUUCCAGGAAAAGCCUCUAAGCAUCAGGUAACAUUGAAUCGUACCCCAAACCGACACAGGUGGUCAGGUAGAGAAUACCAAGGCGCUUGAGAGAACUCGGGUGAAGGAACUAGGCAAAAUGGUGCCGUAACUUCGGGAGAAGGCACGCUGAUAUGUAGGUGAAGCCCCUGCGGGUGGAGCUGAAAUCAGUCGAAGAUACCAGCUGGCUGCAACUGUUUAUUAAAAACACAGCACUGUGCAAACACGAAAGUGGACGUAUACGGUGUGACGCCUGCCCGGUGCCGGAAGGUUAAUUGAUGGGGUUAUCCGUAAGGAGAAGCUCUUGAUCGAAGCCCCGGUAAACGGCGGCCGUAACUAUAACGGUCCUAAGGUAGCGAAAUUCCUUGUCGGGUAAGUUCCGACCUGCACGAAUGGCGUAAUGAUGGCCAGGCUGUCUCCACCCGAGACUCAGUGAAAUUGAACUCGCUGUGAAGAUGCAGUGUACCCGCGGCAAGACGGAAAGACCCCGUGAACCUUUACUAUAGCUUGACACUGAACAUUGAGCCUUGAUGUGUAGGAUAGGUGGGAGGCUUUGAAGCGUGGACGCCAGUCUGCGUGGAGCCAACCUUGAAAUACCACCCUUUAAUGUUUGAUGUUCUAACGUUGGCCCCUUAUCGGGGUUGCGGACAGUGUCUGGUGGGUAGUUUGACUGGGGCGGUCUCCUCCCAAAGAGUAACGGAGGAGCACGAAGGUUAGCUAAUCCUGGUCGGACAUCAGGAGGUUAGUGCAAUGGCAUAAGCUAGCUUGACUGCGAGCGUGACGGCGCGAGCAGGUGCGAAAGCAGGUCAUAGUGAUCCGGUGGUUCUGAAUGGAAGGGCCAUCGCUCAACGGAUAAAAGGUACUCCGGGGAUAACAGGCUGAUACCGCCCAAGAGUUCAUAUCGACGGCGGUGUUUGGCACCUCGAUGUCGGCUCAUCACAUCCUGGGGCUGAAGUAGGUCCCAAGGGUAUGGCUGUUCGCCAUUUAAAGUGGUACGCGAGCUGGGUUUAGAACGUCGUGAGACAGUUCGGUCCCUAUCUGCCGUGGGCGCUGGAGAAUUGAGGGGGGCUGCUCCUAGUACGAGAGGACCGGAGUGGACGCAUCACUGGUGUUCGGGUUGUCAUGCCAAUGGCAUUGCCCGGUAGCUAAAUGCGGAAGAGAUAAGUGCUGAAAGCAUCUAAGCACGAAACUUGCCCCGAGAUGAGUUCUCCCUGAGACUUUAAGUCUCCUGAAGGAACGUUAAAGACGAUGACGUUGAUAGGUCGGGUGUGUAAGCGUAGCGAUACGUUGAGCUAACCGAUACUAAUGAACCGUGAGGCUUAACCUUACAACGCCGAAGGUGUUU